GGCCCUACUCCUACGGGAGGCAGCAGUGAGGAAUUUUGCGCAAUGGGGGAAACCCUGACGCAGCGACGCCGCGUGGAGGACGAAGGCCUUCGGGUCGUAAACUCCUGUCAGAGGUGAAGAAUGCCCGCAAGGGCUUGACGGUAACCUCAGAGGAAGCCCCGGCUAACUACGUGCCAGCAGCCGCGGUAAUACGUAGGGGGCAAACGUUACUCGGAAUUACUGGGCGUAAAGGGUGCGUAGGCGGCUGGGAAAGUCAAGGAUGAAAUCCCGUGGCUCAACUGCGGAACUGUCCUUGAAACUUCUCAGCUUGAGGAUAAUCGAAGAGRACGGAAUUCCCGGUGGAGCGGUGAAAUGCGUAGAUAUCGGGAGGAACACCUGAGGCGAAAGCGGUUCUCUAGACUACUCCUGACGCUGAGGCRCGAAAGCUAGGGGAGCAAACGGGAUUAGAUACCCCGGUAGUCCUAGCCAUCAACGAUGGAUACUGGAUAUUCCUGCACUCAUGUGGGAGUGUCGAAGCUAACGCGUUAAGUAUCCCGCCUGGGGAGUACGGUCGCAAGAUUGAAACUCAAAGGAAUUGACGGGGGCCCGCACAAGCGGUGGAGCAUGUGGUUUAAUUCGACGCAACGCGAAGAACCUUACCUGGGCUUGAACUGUCGGUAUAGGGACCCGAAAGGGCGACGAUCCCGGGCAACCGGGAAGCCGAUAGAGGUGCUGCAUGGCUGUCGUCAGCUCGUGUCGUGAGAUGUUGGGUUAAGUCCCGCAACGAGCGCAACCCUUGUCUUUAGUUGCCAGCGAGUCAUGUCGGGCACUCUAAGGAGACUGCCUCGGAUAACGAGGAGGAAGGUGGGGAUGACGUCAAGUCAGCAUGGCCUUUAUGUCCAGGGCUACACACGUGCUACAAUGGGCGGUACAGAAGGACGCGAGAUCGCGAGGUCGAGCCAACCCCUAAAACCGUCCUCAGUUCGGAUUGCAGGCUGCAAUUCGCCUGCAUGAAGUCGGAAUCGCUAGUAAUCGCGGAUCAGCUACGCCGCGGUGAAUACGUUCUCGGGCCUUGUACACACCGCCCGUCACAUCACGAAAGCUGGUCGUACCCGAAGUCGCUGAGCCAACCGCAAGGGGGCAGGUGCCGAAGGUAUGGUCGGUGAUUGGGGUGAAGUCGUAACAAGGUAGCCGUACGGGAACGUGCGGCUGGAUCACCUCCUUU
Molecule: ribosomal RNA, 1204 nt
Filed under: uncultured Aminicenantes bacterium
Lineage: Bacteria; Candidatus Aminicenantota
Description: bacterial SSU rRNA
Rfam family: Bacterial small subunit ribosomal RNA
Source: RNAcentral